UGCCAUGGCAAAUGCGAAAUU
Molecule: non-coding RNA, 21 nt
Filed under: Caenorhabditis elegans
Lineage: Eukaryota; Metazoa; Nematoda; Chromadorea; Rhabditida; Rhabditidae
Source: RNAcentral